CACCAGGUUGAUUCUGCCUGACGUAUGUGCUUGUCUUGAGAUUUAGCCAUGCAAGUUAGCGAAUCUAAAUGUGAAGCAACAGACAGCUCAGUAAUAGAGUUAAAAUUAACUCGUGAAAUUAAAUGGUAACCUUGGUAAGCUAAGGCUAAUACAUAUUAUGAAAAUUAGAGGGGGGCACCUUAAUUUUUUUUUUUACGAUUAAGUUUCUGACCUAUCAGCUAGAUGGUAAGGUAAAGGCUUACGAUUGCUAUAACGGGUAACGGAAAAUCAGGGUUUGAUUCCGGAGAGGGAGCCUGAGAAAUAGCUACCACGUCUAAGGAUGGCAGCAGGCGCGAAAAUUACCCAAUUCCUUAACGGGAGAGGUAGUGAAGAGACAUGAAUAUGGUAUUCGAGUAGGUACAUUAAAAUAGUACUGAAAUAAUUGGAGGGCAAGUCUGGUGCCAGCAGCCGCGUAAUUCCAGCUCCAGUAGCGCAUAUAAUAGUUGCUGCAGUUAAAAAGUCCGUAGUUGAUCUAAUAGUAUACCUGUGAGUAAACUAUAAUACUCAAAAUUAUAAUAAAGCAUGGGAUAAAGAGAUAAUAGGAACAGAUGAUGGCAAUAGUAUUCAAUAGUUAGAGGUGAAAAUUUAAGACCUAUUGAGGACUAUCAGAAGCGAAAGCGAUUGUCAAGGAUGUAUCCGUUAAUAAAGGACUUAAGCUAGAUUAUCGAAGAUGAUUAGAUACCGUCGUAGUUCUAGCUGUAAACGAUGCCGACUAGGUGAUGCCGUUAGCUAUGCCUUAGGAGAAAUCAAAGUCUACGGGCUCUGGGGAUAGUAUGCCGGCAACGGUGAAACUUAAAGAAAUUGACGGAAGAAUACCACAAGGAGUGGAUUAUGCGGCUUAAUUUGACUCAACGCGGGACAACUUACCAGAACCGAACUCAUAUGAGAAUUGAAAACAAUGAUAAUGAGGAAGGUGGUGCAUGGCCGUUUUCAACACGUGGGGUGACCUGUCAGGUUAAUUCCGAUAACGCGUGAGGCCUUUAAUUUAUAUUCAGAGAUAUAGAUGACGGAUAAUGAUAAGUUAUAGGAAGUAAGGCUAUAACAGGUCAGUGAUGCCCCAGAUGCUCUGGGCUGCACGCGUACUACAAUGAUAUAUUGAAAUUAUACAUUGAGAAAUGUUUUUUAUAUAAUAUAUAUCUAAGCUGGGAUAAUUCAUUGUAAAUUGAAUUUGAACUUGGAAUUCCUAGUAAUCAUAAGUCAUUAUGUUAUGAUGAAUGCGUCCCUGUUCUUUGUACACACCGCCCGUCACUAUCUAAGAUGGAUGUAUAGGUGAAAUGGCUAGACUUUUAAUAGGAAAGCAGUUAAACCUGUACAACUAAAUAAGAUAUAAGUCGUAACAAGGUAACC
This 1386-nucleotide ribosomal RNA is filed under the name Bacillidium sp. RNAcentral describes it as "SSU rRNA". It matches the Rfam family "Microsporidia small subunit ribosomal RNA". The record is from RNAcentral. Lineage: Eukaryota; Fungi; Microsporidia; Mrazekiidae.